GAUGAACGCUGGCGGCGUGCCUAAUACAUGCAAGUCGAGCGAACGGACGAGAAGCUUGCUUCUCUGAUGUUAGCGGCGGACGGGUGAGUAACACGUGGAUAACCUACCUAUAAGACUGGGAUAACUUCGGGAAACCGGAGCUAAUACCGGAUAAUAUUUUGAACCGCAUGGUUCAAAAGUGGAAGACGGUCUUGCUGUCACUUAUAGAUGGAUCCGCGCUGCAUUAGCUAGUUGGUAAGGUAACGGCUUACCAAGGCAACGAUGCAUAGCCGACCUGAGAGGGUGAUCGGCCACACUGGAACUGAGACACGGUCCAGACUCCUACGGGAGGCAGCAGUAGGGAAUAUUCCGCAAUGGGCGAAAGCCUGACGGAGCAACGCCGCGUGAGUGAUGAAGGUCUUCGGAUCGUAAAACUCUGUUAUUAGGGAAGAACAUAUGUGUAAGUAACUGUGCACAUCUUGACGGUACCUAAUCAGAAAGCCACGGCUAACUACGUG
Molecule: ribosomal RNA, 497 nt
Filed under: uncultured bacterium
Lineage: Bacteria
Description: partial 16S ribosomal RNA
Rfam family: Bacterial small subunit ribosomal RNA
Source: RNAcentral